AACGAACGCUGGCGGCAGGCUUAACACAUGCAAGUCGAGCGCCCCGCAAGGGGAGCGGCAGACGGGUGAGUAACGCGUGGGAAUCUACCCAUCUCUACGGAAUAACGCAUGGAAACGUGUGCUAAUACCGUAUACGUCCUUCGGGAGAAAGAUUUAUCGGAGAUGGAUGAGCCCGCGUUGGAUUAGCUAGUUGGUGGGGUAAAGGCCUACCAAGGCGACGAUCCAUAGCUGGUCUGAGAGGAUGAUCAGCCACACUGGGACUGAGACACGGCCCAGACUCCUACGGGAGGCAGCAGUGGGGAAUAUUGGACAAUGGGCGCAAGCCUGAUCCAGCCAUGCCGCGUGAGUGAUGAAGGCCCUAGGGUUGUAAAGCUCUUUCACCGGAGAAGAUAAUGACGGUAUCCGGAGAAGAAGCCCCGGCUAACUUCGUGCCAGCCGCCGCGGUAA
Molecule: ribosomal RNA, 447 nt
Filed under: uncultured Hyphomicrobiales bacterium
Lineage: Bacteria; Pseudomonadati; Pseudomonadota; Alphaproteobacteria; Hyphomicrobiales
Description: bacterial SSU rRNA
Rfam family: Bacterial small subunit ribosomal RNA
Source: RNAcentral